UACGUAGGGGGCAAGCGUUGUCCGGAAUUAUUGGGCGUAAAGAGCGUGUAGGCGGCCAGGUAGGUCUGCUGUGAAAACUCGAGGCUCAACCUCGAGACGUCGGCGGAAACCAUCUGGCUAGAGUCCGGAAGAGGAGAGUGGAAUUCCUGGUGUAGCGGUGAAAUGCGCAGAUAUCAGGAAGAACACCCGUGGCUAAGGCGGCUCUCUAGUACGGUACUGACGCUGAGACGCGAAAGCGUGGGGAGCGAACAGG
This 253-nucleotide ribosomal RNA is filed under the name uncultured bacterium. RNAcentral describes it as "partial 16S ribosomal RNA". It matches the Rfam family "Bacterial small subunit ribosomal RNA", at positions 524 to 776 of the family's 1533-position model. The record is from RNAcentral.